This 446-nucleotide ribosomal RNA is filed under the name uncultured bacterium. Its description in RNAcentral is "SSU rRNA". It matches the Rfam family "Bacterial small subunit ribosomal RNA", at positions 26 to 518 of the family's 1533-position model. The record is from RNAcentral.
AGAACGAACGCUGGCGGCAUGCCUAACACAUGCAAGUCGAACGAGACCUUCGGGUCUAGUGGCGCACGGGUGCGUAACGCGUGGGAAUCUGCCCUUGGGUUCGGAAUAACUCAGAGAAAUUUGAGCUAAUACCGGAUGAUGACGUAAGUCCAAAGAUUUAUCGCCCAAGGAUGAGCCCGCGUAAGAUUAGGUAGUUGGUGGGGUAAAGGCCUACCAAGCCGACGAUCUUUAGCUGGUCUGAGAGGAUGAUCAGCCACACUGGGACUGAGACACGGCCCAGACUCCUACGGGAGGCAGCAGUGGGGAAUAUUGGACAAUGGGCGAAAGCCUGAUCCAGCAAUGCCGCGUGAGUGAUGAAGGCCUUAGGGUUGUAAAGCUCUUUUACCCGGGAUGAUAAUGACAGUACCGGGAGAAUAAGCCCCGGCUAACUCCGUGCCAGCAGCCGC